UCACAUGAAGAAAGUGAAGUGAGGAGUUUCCUGCAGUGUCUGCCUUAUAUCUCACAGCUCAGCGUUGAUGAUGAGACAUCAGAGGAAGAAAGAACGAAGUUCUUUGUGAAUCUGUUCUGUGCAGCAGCAGAGAGAGAACAGCAGACAGGAGAGAAGAUACUGGAGCUGUUAUCAUCAGUGUGCAGAUACAAACACAGUCCUUUGAAACAGAAACAGUGUGACUUCCUCAUGGACCUGUACUCUUAUGAGACUAAAACAGGCUUGAGUGUCCUUCCAUCAUUACAGUCAGUUUUCCAGUCAGCUCCUGCAGUCUGGUCCAUAAACCUCUCAGAGAGAAAGACCUCCAUCCUCCUGGAAGUGCUGAAACUCCAACCAGAGAAGAAACAA
Long non-coding RNA from Oreochromis niloticus (Nile tilapia), 387 nucleotides. RefSeq lists it as uncharacterized. The record is from RefSeq and is a predicted model, not a curated record. NCBI's taxonomy places the organism in Eukaryota, Metazoa, Chordata, Actinopteri, Cichliformes, Cichlidae. The transcript is spliced from 2 exons.